This 6424-nucleotide long non-coding RNA is filed under the name Sorghum bicolor (sorghum). RNAcentral describes it as "long non-coding RNA (SBIC_LNC005333)". Lineage: Eukaryota; Viridiplantae; Streptophyta; Magnoliopsida; Poales; Poaceae. The record is from RNAcentral.
CUAACAAGAUAUGGGAUACAAAGGUAACUUGGAAAUGUCACGUUCCUCGCUACUACCACGGUCCAGCUAGUCAGGGGAUAUCUAUGAGUACCCUAGCCUAAACACCACGUUUACGCCAGCAAUGAUUACUCUAAUACUCAACCGGAAGAGGAUUCAAGUAAACUCAUAAACCAAAGAACAAUAAAACAAGAACUUACUAGCAUUAGAAGUCAAAUUACUGAAGAAUCUUAGAAGCAAGCCUCGGGUUAGGAGACUUGAUCCUGUAGGUACAACUCGGAGUAGACACCGACAGGCCGGCCUUCCUCCGAUCCACACCUCCACUCUAUCUCUCUCAAUCUAGUAGAAACUAGAAGAUCUAUUUCUACUUUACAUUGGUUUCUAAGCCUAAAAAGAAAUAUUAUUUAGAGAAGAGGUAUUCCUUCGAGGGCACCCCUCAAUCUCUAUGAUAAUUUCUUGUCUUCUCCAGGGGCCAGGGGGGUCUCCUUAUAUAGUCCUCCCCUUCUAUGCGUUUUUGGGUCGGUAGGCGAGGUGGUACUAUGUUAUUCUGAAUCCAAUAGGUCGGUGGAGAUCUCCCGAGAGAAAGAGUCCUGAUUGGGCUCGGCAGGUGGGCGGGCGCCCAAGGAAACUGGGCGGGCGCCCAGGUCCUGGCCCCGUUUCGCCUCCGCUUCGGUCUCGUGGCUUCUGGAGUCUUCUAGAUGGUAGAAAAUUGCGCGGUACGUUGAUAUCUCUAUGUAAUCCUGACAUGUGGGCCUUUCUUCCUUAUUUCCUGAUAACCCCCUGCAGAAAUAGACAAACACCAAAACUCGUGGAAUUCUAUCAGAUAAAACCCUAAGUCUAGAUGUUGAUUUCAUUUGGAUCCUUUUCUUUGUUUAUUUGAUAAUUAAAUUUGAUACUUAAGGACCGUCAACAAACUCCCCCAAGCUUACCUCUUGCUCAUCCCUGAGCAAGGAUGAACUCAAGAGUUUCUGCAGUGGUUUCAUGCUUUAAAAGUACACACGCAUUCAAGCAAGAUCUCAUCUCUGAGUUAGAAUAAACUGGUAAGACUUAAAACUUACUCAUUUUACCUUUCACCAUGGGGCUUGUAACCGUCACUUGUGUCUUGAGCAGUUAAAAGAUAGAACGGUCAAGUCAAGCGCCAUGUCUCUUAUUCUUGAUCAGCUAUAGCUCUGGAGUUUUUACAGAUUUUUAAAUAAAACUCAGAGAUUCCUUAUAUGACUCUCUCAGAUCUCUCUUUUGUGGUAUUUCUGGAUCCUCACUAAGGCAGUACUGGUAUAUGCCUUCUCUCAAAGUAUGUAGUAUUUAUGGUAUGAGGCAUAGUGAUAUUGCCUUUUCUCUCACCCUACUCUAAUAAGGUUUUGAUAUCUGGAGCUCAUAGGUGGGAGACAGAUAAUACAUACUUACAAGACAUUUAUUGCAUAGUCAAACCAUGGAUCUAGAGAAACAAGUCAUUAAGUCAAAUCAAGAUGUGCAUGUGUGGCGAAUGAAUGGUGUAUGGUGAUGAUGAUGAUAAUAAUGGUGAAAGUCUAAUUCUACUUUUGCUCUUUUGAGGGGAUACAUACCUUUCUUGCACUUUGAACCUUUUUUGGGAUAAUGAGAUGCUCUAUAUUUUCUUUUUUUCUUUUUCUCUCAGGUGGGUAUCUUGUACCUCUAAUUCUACUGUCGGACACUUGUCCAUUUUUACCUCUCGUCUCACUUUUUCUUUUCUUUCGAGGUUCCGGACACUUGCCCCUUUUUAUUUCCUCGUAUUUUUCCUCUUUUUUUUUUCCUUUUUUUAGAGCACUCAUCUCCUUAAAUAAUAUAGCAAGUGGUAGUAACCAAGAUAACUCGAGCAUUUAUUUCACACGGAAUAACAGGGAUAGAAAAAUAUUUUUGGCUAUUCUCUCCCGGAUUAGGAGUAGAAUAAUUUUGGGUGAAUGUGGAGAUGGAAAUGAGUGGAUAUAUGUGGAUGGUACUUCCGGAGUAGAAGUAGCAUGUAUGAGUGAACGUGCAAGUGAAUCUUGAUUUUAACCACAUGACAAGCUCCUAAGGGUCUACACAGCUUGACCACACUCAAUGCUCAUAAGCAGUAAAAAGUAAAUAUGUGGCUCAAAGUCUAGCAAGCAUGUAUAUAUGGCUGUGGUAGGAAUUUAAACUCUCAUCAUAUAGGAACUCAUCAUGUGUUAUUUUAAAGAUUUUUCAAAGAUAAAAUUCUCCAGAAUUCUAGCAUCUCUAGGAACAGAUAAACAGCAGCUCAACCUUCCCAUAUCAUAUCCGUUAACAACUUAGACUUUAGAUCAAGUACUCUUCCCACAAGUUUAGGUUUAGAGCAAAUCUUACUUCAUAACAGUUAUGCCUAAACUUGAGAGAGAUUUCAAUUUUAAGAACUAGUCAUGGCAGAGCAACUAUUCAUCAUUUCCAUGUGAGAGCUUAUCAUGAGGGUUCAUAGCAAACUUUAUUUAUUUAGCAAACUAAGCAAAAUUAUAUAAAAGCACAAAAUCUUUAUUUGGGUUUUCAUGAUUAUGCAUCUUUUAUUAUUUGAGUAAAGUAUAAACACGAGUAGAAACACUUAGCUAGAUAAAUGGGGGUGCUCUCCCCCAAGCUGGAUUUUGACGUAAUUUCUUCUGAUGUAGCUAGCAGGUGGCAGAGGUGUAUUUGAAAGUCAGCAGCAUUCUGACAGCGAUUAGAAUGUCCUCCGUCUGCUAAUCUUCUAGAUUCUUAAAUUCUGUGGAGCUCAAAUAGACAACAAAGCUUUGUGGAACUGGUUAAGUGUUAGCAUAAAAUCUCUUUGCCUUCAUAUUGAGCUUCCUCAAUAAAUAUUACUUAUUUAGCAGGAUCAUGCACUUAUUAUUUUUAUAUUUUUAUUGUAAGAUAAAAACUUAUUUAUUUUAUUUUUAUGCCACCACAGUGAAUGUACUUAUGAGUUUUAUGCCAUGAGCAUACUCACAUGGGGCUUACUAUUUUUUUAACAUUUUUAUUAUUUUUUUUUCAAGAUAGCAUGAACCUGAUUAACUAAGCAAACUAUAAUUGAAUAAUUGAAAGGAAAAGGAUAACUACCAAGUUUACCUCUUGGCAAGACGUUCGGUCUUUUUAAAUCCUCCGAAUGGGACUCCUUGUGUUUUCAGUCGUUCUGGGAUUCGCUAGGUAGCGUAGUCGGUGGUUCCGGCGGCGCCUCCUCUUCGUGUAUAACUAUCUUCUCCCUCCACACCUGACUCGGUGCUACGGUCUCCUCAGGACAGUUCUGUUCAAGCUGUAUGUCUUCAGUCCUUAUCACUUUUCCUUCGUAGUCUACCCAUCCGUUCUUGAUGAUUUGCCUCCUCUGGUUUCGGUUGCGUCGUCUUCUUGUCCUGACCUGCUUAGAGUCUUCAACUAUAUAGUUAAGGUCAGUAAAAUAGCGGCAUACCUUCUGUUGGGUAUUCUUAACAUCAUUACUAAAAGUAGACUAAGUUCUCUAAAUCUAGUAACGGUGCCAAAAAUGCCAAACCUAUCCCUCACACCACUUAAGCCAAGUUGUCAUCCCCAGCAUGAUAUGAGAGACGCGGUAUUGAAAUAUGCAAUUGCUCUUCUAAAUAAAUAAUGAAUGGGAUCUGCAAGCGCACAGAUUAAUACCGAUGUAGCAUUUUAACCGGAAAGUAUUCCAGGUAUCGUUAUUUAUAUUUUUACCACUGGGAAGGGAUUAGCAAUCAUCACUAUUGAUUACAGAAUAGAAUAUGAGAUUGAGCAUCUAUCAUUGCAUGUAUAAUUGAGAACAUUGUAUCUAACUCAUCAUACAGGGAUAAGUGUCACAUAAAAGAUAUAUGAAAUAAUAAUAGUGACAAGGAUAACUAAUCUGAUCUAGCCACAUAAUAAAUAUGAUAAGCACCUCAAUUAGAUACUCUAGAAAGUCAUUAGCAUGGUAUUAGAACGAACUACAAGAAUAUUCCCUAAGUUAUUCUCAACUAUAUAGUCUAGCAUUAUCAUAGUUAGUGCAAGCAUACUUAGCAAUCAUUGCGAGACAAGACUACACCCAUGCAUAGUGAUAUUAGCAAGGAAUAUGAGAAACAUAGCAAUCACUCCCCUGUAAUAAUGUUGCUCUGCCAGCCCAAUACACGAGAGGGGGACUAUAUAAGAAUCAAUGAAGCUGUCACUAUCACGAACCACCCCACGAUCUGGCAUAUUGGGUACAAUCGCAGAUAAAUACGGUAUAAGCACCACGCCUACACAAUAUCUAUCAUUUACCCAUGGAUCCGAUGGAUAAACGCUAUACGAUCCUAAGCAUGUAUAUAGAUCGAAUCUAACUAAGCCAAGUACAUAACUAUGAUAAACUAAGAACAAUAUAAUCUUGAAUAUAAGCAAGUAGAGCAAAGUCAUAAGCAAUAUAUUGAAGUAGAACAAAGUCAUAUUCAUAAUAUUGAAGAACAAAGAUAAUUAAAGUAAUUAGAAACACAAUUAGAGAAUUACCAAGAAUCCUCUUGACAGAUCCGGAAACCAAUCGAAGAUUGACUCCUUCUAGUUCUAAUCCUAUGUAGCUAUGCUAAUCUAGAUAUCUAAUUGAUGUGGUGGCUCUAAUCUUGAUCAGAGGCUUCUUCUCCCUUGAUGGAACAAUGAAUUAGGGUUGAGAGGCUCUCUCCACCAGGGGCCAGGGGGUCUGGUUUUAUAGUCCCUUCAAAUGAAUAUGGGCCCUUGGAUCAAACCGACAUAGAUUGUAUGGUUUAGAUUCAUCCUUUAGGUCGGUGGAGAUCUCCCGCAAAGCAGAGUCCUGAUUGGACUCAGGAGGUGGGCGGGCGCCGUGACCAACUGGGCGGCCGCCCAGGGUCUGGCCCCGUUUCGCCUCCGCUUCGGUCUCGUGGCUUCUGGAGUCUUCUAGAUGUAAGAUAAUUGCGCAGCACGUUAAUACCUUUACGUAAUCCUCACAUGUGGGCCUUUCUUCCGUAUUUCCUGAUAACCCCCUGCAGAAAUAGACAAACACCAAAACUCGUGGAAUUCUGUCAGAUAAAACCCUAAGUCUAGAUCUUGAUUCCAUUUGGAUCCUUUUCUUUAUUUAUUUGAUAAUUAAAUUUGAUACUUAAGGACCGUGAACAAACUCCCCCAAGCUUACCUCUUGCUCGUCCCUGAGCAAGGAUAGACUUAGCUAUGGAUCAUAAGUUGUUGCAAUAUCUUUUAAAAAUUUUACGGUACACAUGCUUUUUAAAUAAGAUCUCAUCUCUAAGUUAGAGUAAACUGUCAAGACUUAAAACUUACUUACUUUACCUUCACCAUGGGACUUGUAACUGUCACUUCUGUCUUGAGUGGUUAAAAGAUAGAACAGUCUAGCCAAGUGCCAUGUCUCUUAUUCUUGAUCAGCUAUAGCUCUGGGAUUUUUGCAGAUUUUCAAAUAAAACUCAGAGAUUCCUUGUAUGAUUCUCUCAGGUCUCUCUUUUGUGGUAUUUUUGGAUCCUUACCAAGGCAUUGAUGGUAUAUGCCUUCUCUCAAGAUAUGUGGUAUUUGUGGUAUGAGGCAUAGUGACAUUGCCUUCUCUCUCACCCUACUCUAAUAAGGCUUUAAUAUCUGGAGCUCAUAGGUGGGAGAUAAAAUAUACAUACUUACAAGACAUUUAUUGCAUAGUCAAACCAUGGAUCCAAAGUAACAAGUCAAUAAGUUUAAUCAAGAUGUGCAUGUGUGGCGAAUGAAUGGUAUAUGGUGAUGAUGGUGAUAACAAUGAUGAAAACAAUGGUGGUGGAAGUCUAAUUCUACUUUUGCUCUUUUGAGGGGAUACAUACCUUCCUUGCUUUUGAAACUUUAUGAGGAGAAUGAGAUGCUCUUCUUUUUCUUGUCUCUCAGGUGGGUAUCUUGCACCCCUAAUUCUACUGUCGAACACUUGUCCAUUUUUACCUCUCGUCUCACUUUUUCUUUUCUUUCGAGGUUCCGAGCACUUGCUCCUUUUUAUUUCCUCAUAUUAUUUCCCCUUUUUUUUUCAGAGCAUUCAUCUCUUGAGAUAAUAUAGCAAGUGGUAGUAACAAGAUAACUUGAGCAUUUAUUUCACAAGGAAAAAUAGAAAUGUUUUUGGUUAUUCUCUCCCGGAUUAGUAGUAGAAUAUUUUUAGGUGGCUCUGGAGAUGGAAAUGAGUGGAUGUGUGUGGAUGCGUACUUCCAGAGUAGAAGUAGCAUAUAUGAGUGAACGUGCAAGUGAAAUCUUGAUUUAACCACAUGACAAGCUCCUAAGGGUCUUCACAGCUUGACCACACUCAAUGCUCAUAAGUAGUAAAUAGUAAAUGUGUGGCUCAAAGUCUAGCAAGCAUGCAUAUAUGGCUGUGGUAGGAAUUUAAGCUCUCAUCAUACAGGAACUCAUCAUGCAACAUUUUAAAGAUUUUCAAAGAUAAAAUUCUCUAGAAUUCUAGCAUCUCUAGGAACAGAUAAACAACAGCUCAACCUUCUCAUAUCAUAUCCGUUAACAACUUAGACUUCAGAUCAAGUUUUCAUCCCACAAGUUU